ACCCCUUUGUGAUUCAUGACUGGGGUGAAGUCGUAACAAGGUAACCGUAGGGGAACCUGCGGUUGGAUCACCUCCUUACCUUAAAGAAGC
RNAcentral lists this ribosomal RNA (90 nucleotides) under Salmonella enterica subsp. enterica serovar 4,[5],12:i:-. RNAcentral's name for it is "partial 16S ribosomal RNA". The stretch from base 1 to 78 matches the Rfam family "Bacterial small subunit ribosomal RNA", at positions 1456 to 1533 of the family's 1533-position model. Lineage: Bacteria; Pseudomonadati; Pseudomonadota; Gammaproteobacteria; Enterobacterales; Enterobacteriaceae. The record is from RNAcentral.